Molecule: ribosomal RNA, 253 nt
Filed under: uncultured bacterium
Lineage: Bacteria
Description: partial 16S ribosomal RNA
Rfam family: Bacterial small subunit ribosomal RNA
Source: RNAcentral
UACGGAGGGUGCAAGCGUUAUCCGGAUUCACUGGGUUUAAAGGGUGCGUAGGUGGGCAGUUAAGUCAGUGGUGAAAUCUCCGGGCUCAACCCGGAAACUGCCAUUGAUACUAUCUGUCUUGAAUAUCGUGGAGGUAAGCGGAAUAUGUCAUGUAGCGGUGAAAUGCUUAGAUAUGACAUAGAACACCAAUUGCGAAGGCAGCUUACUACCCGAAUAUUGACACUGAGGCACGAAAGCGUGGGGAGCAAGCAGG